AUGUCAUGGAAAAUUGCCAUGGGUAUGCGCUGGGAGGGUCUAUCUGCUGGCGAGAAUGAUAGAUCUGAAGAUGAUUUCUUCGGUCAGUGGCGAGUCGUAUACAUCGGCGGAGGCGCGCAGAGUGGCGACGGAGGAGGCACGCAGGAACAACCUGCCAAGGAGGAGCAGGCGGCUGUGGAUAAUUCGGCGGCGAUGGGGGAUCCCGAGGCGGCGGCGUACCCAAGCUGGCUGCAGAGCGAACAGAUGGAGUUGUUCGUGAGGAGGCAGACGGAAGAGAGGCAUGCCCGAUUGGACGACUGGUCGUCGCCCAACGAGAGGGCCGUCUGCGCUCGUAGCUACCGCAACGGCUGGAACCAAAUGUGGGCAUGCCAACGAGGCACCUACGAGGACACCAUUAUCACGGCAUACAACUAUGCAGCGGCUAUCCCGGCCAUGCGUUAUACGGACGUCAAGCCACCAGCAUGGCGUCACGUCGGUCCGAUAGGAACUUUGCAGAUCUUUUCCUUCAAAGUCACCGCAAUAGCAGAGGAAUUGCAGUGGCCACUAGAUGUGUAUGGCUUGAUCGCGAUAAGAGACCACCUAGACCGCAACCGCAAUAUCAUCUUUGCUCGCGCGAGGGAUAACUGUCAAACCAUCAGUUUGGAGUUUUAA
This 651-nucleotide ribosomal RNA is filed under the name Triticum aestivum (bread wheat). RNAcentral describes it as "partial small subunit ribosomal RNA". Lineage: Eukaryota; Viridiplantae; Streptophyta; Magnoliopsida; Poales; Poaceae. The record is from RNAcentral.